GACGAACGCUGGCGGCGUGCUUAACACAUGCAAGUCGAACGGAAAGGCCUGCAGCUUGCUGCGGGUACUCGAGUGGCGAACGGGUGAGUAACACGUGGGUGAUCUGCCUUGCACUUCGGGAUAAGCUUGGGAAACUGGGUCUAAUACCGGAUAGGACAGCUGUUUAGUGUCAGUUGUGGAAAGUUUUUUCGGUGCAAGAUGAGCUCGCGGCCUAUCAGCUUGUUGGUGGGGUAAUGGCCUACCAAGGCGUCGACGGGUAGCCGGCCUGAGAGGGUGUACGGCCACAUUGGGACUGAGAUACGGCCCAGACUCCUACGGGAGGCAGCAGUGGGGAAUAUUGCACAAUGGGCGGAAGCCUGAUGCAGCGACGCCGCGUGGGGGAUGAAGGCCUUCGGGUUGUAAACUCCUUUCGACAGGGACGAAGCGUAAGUGACGGUACCUGUAUAAGAAGCACCGGCUAACUACGUGCCAGCAGCCGCGGUAAUACGUAGGGUGCGAGCGUUGUCCGGAAUUACUGGGCGUAAAGAGCUCGUAGGUGGUUUGUCGCGUCGUCUGUGAAAUUCCGGGGCUUAACUCCGGGCGUGCAGGCGAUACGGGCUGACUUGAGUGCUGUAGGGGAGACUGGAAUUCCUGGUGUAGCGGUGAAAUGCGCAGAUAUCAGGAGGAACACCGAUGGCGAAGGCAGGUCUCUGGGCAGUAACUGACGCUGAGGAGCGAAAGCAUGGGUAGCGAACAGGAUUAGAUACCCUGGUAGUCCAUGCCGUAAACGGUGGGCGCUAGGUGUAGGGGGCUUCCACGUCUUCUGUGCCGUAGCUAACGCAUUAA
RNAcentral lists this ribosomal RNA (825 nucleotides) under uncultured Actinomycetes bacterium. RNAcentral describes it as "bacterial SSU rRNA". It matches the Rfam family "Bacterial small subunit ribosomal RNA", at positions 28 to 863 of the family's 1533-position model. The record is from RNAcentral. Lineage: Bacteria; Bacillati; Actinomycetota; Actinomycetes.